RNAcentral lists this long non-coding RNA (2393 nucleotides) under Homo sapiens (human). RNAcentral describes it as "non-protein coding lnc-UMODL1-4:5". Lineage: Eukaryota; Metazoa; Chordata; Mammalia; Primates; Hominidae. The record is from RNAcentral.
AAAACACUCACUCAUUCCUGAGACGCAACGUGGAGACCAAAAGAGCCAGCUCCCAGCUGUGAGCAGAUCGGGUCCAAAGAUCACGGGCUCGGCGGCAGGAACCUGGUUUGGUAUCCGGCUCCUCUGCGGACUUUGAAGUGCUUUACCGAUUCACAUGACAACUGGUAAAACGAAAACAAACACCUUUCCAGGAAUUGUGAAUUCGAGUUCCAGACCCUCUGGGAUUCCGGGAGCGCAGCUGCUAUUUAUGUUAACAGUCAUUGGUCCCAGGCUGGUGAGGUUAGAAUUUCCAAGUAUAAAAGUAAUUUAGUUUCGUUUUAAAUACAUUUUAGGGCCAAAGAAAAGUGGAACGAUUUAAAGAAAAAGAUGAAAUGAAUAAUAGGGCAAGUUGGGAGGUGGCUGUCCUGAGGUUUCAUGGGACAACAUUAAUUAACCUCAUGAAGUGCCUGCAUGGACAACGUGCCCGGUGUGGUUACAAACAAACCAAUCAGCACAGAUCCUGGGUGGAAAGCAGGGCGCAGCCACGGAGGCACAGUAGGGGUGCAGACUUGAAGGUUUUUAGGAGGUAAGCCCCGAGGGCACGAAGCUCCACGGAGAGACUGUUGACCCGCCUGGGAGUGCAGUGCAGGCAGUUGAACUGUACAUUUUUAGAUGGUCACAGCAACCUCCAAAAACCCAACUUUGCAAAGAUAUGGCAUCGUCAGAAGAAAUGGGGUGCAAUCUAAUGUUGACAGUUUAAAACACCCACUUCUGGAAGAAAUAUUACACGCCCUGGAGAAUUUCUUUGCACUUACUGACUCCCUCUCUCAACACAGGUGGAUGAGAGUGGGACACCUGCCAGUUGUUUGCAUCAGCAGACACUCAGAGUCCAUGGAAAAAAUGAGCCUAGAGGUUUUUAAACCACAACACAAGCAAAAGGCACCUGGUCCCGUUCCUCUUAAGACAGAAGAAAGAGGCGUAAAACCAGCUCCAGGUGCCACCCUUAAGAAAUGUUACAGUGCCGGAUGGGAAGAGUAAACCCUGAACAUCUCUUCUUAAUACUUUACAGACUUCAAGUGUAUUUUAUGGUGACAAAGCAUAUUGAAGACAAAUGAAACUCUACAACCCUGAAAACCAGCCUGAAUUAUUUUGAGAGACAGACAGUGGCUGCAAGGAGAAGCGUCGGGAUUUUCUGGGCUGGCCAUCUCCAGUGUCACUGACCCCGGUCUACCCCUGCAUGUUUGUUUACGGGAAAGGAGUUGAGGAGGAGGAUGUAUGGCUGAGAGCCUGAAAAUAAUCCAGGGCAGGUGGAGCGAGGAGAGGACUUUACUCCUCACACUCAUGUAGGCAUCCUGAAAAGCCACUUUUCUUUCCAAGGUGGGCACGGGCCUUGAGCUUGGAGUGGAGCCAGUUAAAGUUGUCCGCUCUGGGUCGUCAGAUGGAGAUCUUAUCUUGGGUCAUGAAUUGUGGUUUUAGGAGAAAGGCAGAAGCUAAACCCAUCUUCUGUCUGGUGGGGAGGCCCAGCAAAGGGCUCAGAAACACAGCCACAGGCCUCUUGCAGCAGCUGGAUGCACAUUUCAGGAGGUUGCCUGAAAGCAGAAUUGACUUCAGAGAGUAGGGCAGCAGAGCCCAGCCACAGAGUGGUCCCAGGAGCCAGGAAGUGCCACACAGCCCCUCGCUUAUUUUUACUCAGUAUGCCACAGAAGUCCUGACCUGUUAAAAGUGCCCUUUAAGAAUGGCUGGCCCACCCUCUCUCAGAGGGUUCAUGCUGGGGAGAGGGUUCCUGCAUGCCCGCUAAGCUCCAAAUGACAACCCAGGUGUAGAAAGGGCUUAGACUUUAGGGUUCAAACCCAUCCUAGAGUCCGGUCCAAGGCCAGUUACAGCCAAUGGGCAGUGGUAGGUGCAGCCCAGCCCAUUAGCUCAUUCUUGAGCCUCAGAGGGACAGAGCAGCACUAAUGGGUGCACAAAUGGCUAGAAUGUUCACCAACUCCUCGAGAGUGGCAUUGGACAUUUGGGCAAGGGUCUUAUGGAGGCUGAGAGUUGACUGUGGGCUCAUCACAGCUAUUUUGAGGGUCUUGACAGCCCAACUAGCAAACAAUUCUGCAGGGAUGAGAGGUCAGGGCAAAGGGAAAUGGCAUUGUCAAGUGGACAGCCAAAAAGUCCAGGAUGCCCCCAGGUCCUGGGGAACGGCGGGGGAGGAACUCAGGGACUGGAUUACCCACAGGACCUGGUGAGACCCACAGCCACGGGCUGACUUGUGUCCACUCAGAAGCGUAUGUUAAAAUCCUAACCCCCAGUACUUUGGAAUGUGACCUUAUUUGGAAAUAGAGACUUUGAAGAUGAUCAAGUUAAGAUGAAGUCAUGGGGCCGAGAGCGGUGGCUCACGCCCGUAAUCGCAGCACUUCGGGAGGCUG